Molecule: long non-coding RNA, 233 nt
Organism: Schistocerca americana (American grasshopper)
Lineage: Eukaryota; Metazoa; Arthropoda; Insecta; Orthoptera; Acrididae
Exons: 2
Source: RefSeq, a predicted model, not a curated record
CCAAAUAUGGAAGUUACUGUGAAGUGCCUGCAGGAUGACUGCAAUUUUUUUCAACGUCUUGGCAAAUUUGAGAACACAUGCUGCAAAAGCACAUGCUUGCAGAGGAGAAAGGAAAGUUUAUAUUCCAGACAAUGGAUGAGUUUCUGAAGUGAAAGUCCAAAGAAGAGAAGACAGCAAGAAGUAGCUAUUUGUGUUUUUCAUGGUUUAUAGGCAUACUGGGGAAACUUGCCAUG